AAGCAAUCUGCCCUCCUUGGCCUCCCAAAGUGCUGGGAUUACAAGCAUAGGCCACUCUGCUGGACUGAUUUCUGCAAUUUCUAAGCAAAGCCUCUUUAAAACCUUAAGAUUCAGCCGGGCGCGGUGGCUCAAACCUGUAAUCCCAGCACUUUGGGAUGCCGAGACGGGCGGAUCACGAGGUCAGGAGAUCGAGACCAUCCUGGUGAACACGGUGAAACCCCGUCUCUACUAAAAAGUACAAAAAAAGUAGCUGGGUGAGGUGGCAGGCGCCUGUAGUCCCAGCUACUCGGGAGCCUGAGGCAGGAGAAUGGCCUGAAUCCGGGAGGCGGAGCUUGCAGUGAGCUGAGAUCCGGCCACUGCACUCCAGCCUGGGCUACAGAGCGAGACUCCAUCUCAAAAAAAAAAAAAAAAAAAACCUUAAGAUUCAUCCACACUCAAAAUAUUUAUGGCUGGGUGCAGUGCCUCAUGUCUGUAGUCCCAGCACUUUGAGAGGCCAAAGUGGGAGCCCAGGAGUAUGAGAGCAGCCUGGGCAACACAGGGAGACCCUGUAUCUAUUAAGAAAAAAAAAUUAUAGCAGCCAGGUAUGGUGGCUCACACCUGUAAUCCCAACACUUUCGGAGGUUGAGGUGGGCGGGUCACCUGAUGUCAGGAUAUCGACACCAGCCUGGCCAACAUGGUGAAACCUCGUUUCUACUAAAAAUACAAAAAUUAGCUGGGCAUGGUGGUAGGUACCUGUAAUCCCAACUACUUGGAAGGCUGAUGCAGGAGAAUCGCUUGAACAUGGGAGGUGGAGGUUGCAGUGAGCUGAGAUCACACCACUGCACUCCAGCCUAGGCGACUGAGGGAGACUCGGUCUCAAAAAAAAAAAAAAUUAAAAAUUAAAAAAUUAACCAGAUACUAUGGUAUAUGCCUGUAGUCCCAGCUAUUUAAGGGGCUGAGGUCAGAGGACUGCUUGAGCCCAGGAGUUUAGGCUGCAGUGGGCUAUGAUCAGGUCAUUGCACUCCAGCUUGAGUGAGAGACCGAGACCCUGUCUCUUAAAACAAUUUAUGGCCUCAUUUUAACAUCAAACAGUGGACUGUAUUCAGGAAAAUGUUUAGAAAAUGACAAAAAAUGAAAAAGAAAGACAACAGUAGACUAUCACAAGGAGACAAGAAGUCUGCCCAGCUCCAUCUCUGAGUACUGAAGGUUAGCUCACAUCGUUUUC
Molecule: long non-coding RNA, 1204 nt
Filed under: Macaca fascicularis (crab-eating macaque)
Lineage: Eukaryota; Metazoa; Chordata; Mammalia; Primates; Cercopithecidae
Description: lncRNA (ENSMFAG00000051889.1)
Source: RNAcentral